Clupea harengus (Atlantic herring) is the source of this 483-nucleotide long non-coding RNA. RefSeq lists it as uncharacterized. NCBI's taxonomy places the organism in Eukaryota, Metazoa, Chordata, Actinopteri, Clupeiformes, Clupeidae. The record is from RefSeq and is a predicted model, not a curated record. The transcript is spliced from 3 exons.
GCUGGCUCCAGUUGUACAGCUAGCAGGAUUACAGUUAGCAGGAGCGCCGCUGCCAGGAGCAGGAGCCCCAUUAGUGCCUGCUGGAGCUCCGUUAGCCCCAGCUCCAGCUCCAGCUCCGGCUCCAGCCGCUGCAACCCCACCUGCCAAACCCAUUGGAGGAGACCUGGACUCAUCCCUAGCUAACCUGGUUGGAAAUUUGGGAGUUGCAACCCAGAAGAAGGACCAGCAGUGGAGUGAGAAGAAGCUAACAGGCGGGGCAAACUGGACCCCGCAGGUUGCCCCUUCUAUUUGGGGAGCCCCUGCUGCUCAGAUGGUAAGAGAACAAUUCAGUCCGUCGUCACCCAUAGAGCAGCUCUUGCCUCUCUGUCGGCCUGAGCCUGAUGAUGGGCCAGAGGUUCCUGUGGGGGAAUACACCCUGCCUGGCCCUGGAGUGGAUUAGAAGGACACAGGCUUCAGUUGCAAUGAGAACUGACCUUUUACUGA